UACGUAGGGUGCGAGCGUUGUCCGGAAUUAUUGGGCGUAAAGGGCUCGUAGGCGGUCUGUCGCGUCAGGAGUGAAAACUCGGGGCUUAACCCCGAGCCUGCUUCUGAUACGGGCAGACUAGAGGUAUGCAGGGGAGAACGGAAUUCCUGGUGUAGCGGUGAAAUGCGUAGAUAUCAGGAGGAAUACCGGUGGCGAAAGCGACUCUCUGGACGGCAACUGACGCUGAGGCACGAAAGCGUGGGGAGCAAACAGG
This 253-nucleotide ribosomal RNA is filed under the name uncultured bacterium. RNAcentral's name for it is "partial 16S ribosomal RNA". It matches the Rfam family "Bacterial small subunit ribosomal RNA", at positions 524 to 776 of the family's 1533-position model. The record is from RNAcentral.